Long non-coding RNA from Aethina tumida (small hive beetle), 982 nucleotides. RefSeq lists it as uncharacterized. Lineage: Eukaryota; Metazoa; Arthropoda; Insecta; Coleoptera; Nitidulidae. The transcript has 2 exons. The record is from RefSeq and is a predicted model, not a curated record.
UUAAAACACAGCAAAAAAUGCAAAUAAUUUUAUUCUUAUUACAAUUCCAGUUAUAAAGAAGCACUUACAGUAUUGGCCGAAAGAAAAGCAACUUUUUUAAAUUUCAAAUAAUUUUUGUCCAGGGGGUUUACCACGAACCCGAGUGAGAUAUCACUUCUGAAAUCAACGUGGCAACAGCGCAUUUCGUGUUUAUAUUUGGUAAAUUUUAGGGGAAUUCAAAUUUUAGGUUAAUUUAUAUUUACAAAUUUAAAAUUUGACAUCCAAACAAAAUUCAUACAAGUGCAAAAAAUAAUGUUUAAUUAACUUGGAAUGGUUAAAGAAAGGUGUGCAAGUUUGAAAUGUUUUUCUAUCAAGAGUCCUUACAUAAAACAUAUUGAAGCAAAAGAUAAUCGCAAACAACUGCUUUGUUGGUAGGACACCCCGCUACAAUACAACAUAUUCAUUUAGUUGUUUAUGAGUUAAUAAGAUAUUUUUUUCGUGGUCAACAUGACGAAUGUUGAGCCAAAUAAACAACAUUUGUGGUCUGUGAUAUUUUUUUUGUUUAAUCAAAGAAAAAGGCAUAGGAAAGUGAUUAAAUUCUUGUCGAGACUUACGGCAAUCGUGCUGUAACCAUCAAGUGGCGAUUUCAAUGUUAUUGUCAAAGAAUACGAAAAUCGACCAAAGAAGUUUGAAGAUGAAUUACAAGUAUUAUUGGACAAACUUGAUAUACAAACACAACCAAUGGUGGCGGAGGAGUUGAAUGUUACUCGGUAAACCAUUUCCGAUCUCCUGAAAGCCAUAGAAAAGAUUCAAAAGGUUGGAAAAAGGAUUUCACACAAACUGAAGGAAUAACAGAUGGAAAAACGAAAAACUACGUGACAUGAUGCUUAUACGCCAUAACGAAAGGGUAUCACAAUCAAAAAUUAAUAUAUUUUGAAAUUUUCAAAGACAAAAAAUAAUGGGUAAUGGGUAACGCCAUCAACAUUGAGUGCGAGAUCGGAUA